UACGUAGGGGGCAAGCGUUGUCCGGAAUCAUUGGGCGUAAAGAGCGCGUAGGCGGCCCAGUAAGUCCGCUCUGAAAGUCAGGGGCUCAACCCCUGGAUGCGGGUGGAUACUGCUGGGCUAGAGUCCGGAAGAGGUGAGUGGAAUUCCUGGUGUAGCGGUGAAAUGCGCAGAUAUCAGGAGGAACACCAAUGGCGAAGGCAGCUCGCUGGGACGUGACUGACGCUGAGACGCGAAGGCGUGGGGAGCAAACAGG
Molecule: ribosomal RNA, 253 nt
Filed under: uncultured bacterium
Lineage: Bacteria
Description: partial 16S ribosomal RNA
Rfam family: Bacterial small subunit ribosomal RNA
Source: RNAcentral